Talpa occidentalis (Iberian mole) is the source of this 1858-nucleotide long non-coding RNA. RefSeq lists it as uncharacterized. The record is from RefSeq and is a predicted model, not a curated record. The transcript is spliced from 3 exons. Lineage: Eukaryota; Metazoa; Chordata; Mammalia; Eulipotyphla; Talpidae.
AGAGUCCCCCAUUUUGACUCUCCGCCAGCUCGCAGCAUCCAGCCAGCUCGGAGAGUGCUUUUUGGGUUUCCACGUCGGCUGAUCGGAUGAUGAGCGUGAGGAUCAGAGAGAACAAGAAACUGGACCAAGAACAUGAACUCGGUGACGGAGUCUGAUGGCAGUGAAGUGAGGGGAAUAGCCUAAUAAACAAAUGAAUCGCGCUUCCUGCAGCACCUGUUCCCAGAAACCCCAAAAUAUGCCCAUGACGUUCAGAAAAGAGAAGCUGCAGUCCAGUUGGCAAAACAACUGAAUUUAUUCAGCGGGAGAGAGGAAUUCAGCAGCUGCGGGGAUAACCUGGAGAGAGGCAUGUGGGAAUAUCACUCACUCCCGUCUCCAUCAGCCUGCACCAGGGCAUCAGCAAGAUGCAAUCCGACCUGAACCCGCAAGCAGGCUCUCCUGCUCACUGUGCCCCCGAGACCCAGCAGGAUGCUUGGCGAUGAGAAGAUGCAGCUGCGUUAGAAAUGGUUUCCUGCACAACCACUGACCACACCACACACACAAACCCUGCUCUGAGCUUGAGUUACUGUCCUGAGAGCAAAAAAUUAUUCUGUUUGGAAAGAAAGAGCUUUCUGAUGAACUGAAAGGAAAGUGAUCCUGCUACCCAUCUGGGUGGAGAUCCUGUGAACUGUCAGCACCAAGAUGGGAGAAGUGGGGUGGAAAGGGCCCAGGCCAAGGUCGGGUACGGACAAGACCAGGGCAAAUGUCCACGCUUGAGCUGUUGAAUAGUCAGCACCACAGGGCUUUGGGCAAGGUCAGCAAGGAGUCAACAGCCAGAGAUGCCAGGUGGGCAUGCCCUUGGGCAGAGCUGGAGGGAAAGUUAAGCAGCUAGGCAGGGAGCAAGGAGGCCCUUUCUUUGUUUCCCUGGCCGGCCACUGGUCAUCCUUUGGGUCUUGGCUCAGUCAUCCUUUCCUCAAGGUAGCUCAGGGUCAAAUCCGCUCUUAGAUACUCUCCUGUCACCCUGCCAUUCUCCUACAUGAGACUUCUAACUGAAGUGAUUUCAUUAUAACUGAUCUUUAGUGCUCCCUUCAGAAGACUCCACGAGGUGGGUGGCCACGUCUGUCUUCUUUAUGGCUAUAGUCCAGUACCCAGCACAGCGUGUGGCCCCUUGUCAGCCUUCAGUACUUAAGAUUGAGAGGAAGGAAGGAUGUGUAAAGGGCAUUUAAAAAAAAAGGGGGAGCCCUGGAGGAAAGGUAGGAAGUUAAAAUCAGAGGGAGGGGCACACAAAGUUUCAGCCUUCUCCAGAGCCCUUUGCUAAGGACCUGCCCCCAGGCUUGCAAAUGUAGCGGGUGUAGCUAAUCCUGACCUCACUCUGUGGAUACUUGAAAAGCAUGUGGUUGAGGAAACUGAAACAUGAAUCUCUCUGGACAAAUGGUCUCAUUUUAUUUCUCAGUGUUUCAUCUCGAUGUUUUUUCUUUCUCUGCUGUUUUGAGAUGAAAGCAAGCUGUAACCUGAAACUAUAGAUACUUCUCAAGGAUGACAGAAUGUUGAAAGAAUGUAGUUAAAAUGCUCAUUAGGGAUCAUCUACAGUUGUAAAGAUCAGGGUAGAGGAACAGAUUCCCUCAAUUCUUGGAUUUACUCAGGAGGACUUUACCAAAACAGGAUGAACCUCUGAAAAAAAGAUAAGCAUUUACAAUACUACUGCAAACAAAAUCUAAUGAAAGACAUCUGAAGGACAAAGGCCAAGGAACAGCUUCCAGAAGCCUGCAUUUUAUAGGCUUUGCUACCCCAAAUGUAUCAAAGAUUUUGGCUAUUUGAUCAGUGACAAGAGGGGACCCCAGGACUGAAGAGGUAAUUGGGAUGUUGAGUUUGGGACUGUAAG